Chlorocebus sabaeus (green monkey) is the source of this 285-nucleotide non-coding RNA. NCBI's taxonomy places the organism in Eukaryota, Metazoa, Chordata, Mammalia, Primates, Cercopithecidae. The record is from RefSeq and is a predicted model, not a curated record.
AAAUACAUGGUUGGAGGCUCAUCUCUGGAAUUUUGCCGAUUUCAUGACUAACCAGUCCAAGGAGGAAGGAAAAACUGGACCUCAUUAUGGAUUUACUUUUGGGAUACACUGAUUAUUCCAGAGGAAGGCACAAAGCCUGAGAAGCUUAAGUCGGGCCCCACCUUGGACAUACCGGUUCUCUGCAUCUUCAAUGAAGUAUCAGCCAGGCAUUUUGUUAGCUGGGUGUGGUAUGAAUGGGAGGUGACCCUGCUGAAGCGAUGGAUCCAGGACCUGCACACAGAAGAG